RNAcentral lists this ribosomal RNA (497 nucleotides) under uncultured bacterium. Its description in RNAcentral is "partial 16S ribosomal RNA". It matches the Rfam family "Bacterial small subunit ribosomal RNA", at positions 28 to 507 of the family's 1533-position model. The record is from RNAcentral.
GAUGAACGCUGGCGGCGUGCCUAAUACAUGCAAGUCGAGCGAACAGACGAGGAGCUUGCUCCUCUGACGUUAGCGGCGGACGGGUGAGUAACACGUGGAUAACCUACCUAUAAGACUGGGAUAACUUCGGGAAACCGGAGCUAAUACCGGAUAAUAUAUUGAACCGCAUGGUUCAAUAGUGAAAGACGGUUUUGCUGUCACUUAUAGAUGGAUCCGCGCCGCAUUAGCUAGUUGGUAAGGUAACGGCUUACCAAGGCAACGAUGCGUAGCCGACCUGAGAGGGGUAUCGGCCACACUGGAACUGAGAAACGGUCCAGACUCCUACGGGAGGCAGCAGUAGGGAAUCUUCCGCAAUGGGCGAAAGCCUGACGGAGCAACGCCGCGUGAGUGAUGAAGGUCUUCGGAUCGUAAAACUCUGUUAUUAGGGAAGAACAAAUGUGUAAGUAACUAUGCACGUCUUGACGGUACCUAAUCAGAAAGCCACGGCUAACUACGUG